GGUGCCAUGAAGAUUGACAUAUAGCAAGCCAAUUAAGUUGAAGUAGAGCGGGGAAUUGACAACCUCUGAUAGACGGAAUAGGGAGAUUGUUCCCCUACUUGGGCUAUUUUGGUCCAAUAUUUAUAAACUGUAGGAACUUCUGGGAAGAUGGUGGAAUGGUGAACACUAGAGAAAAAGCCUCUUUGAGGUUUGGUGUCCAGAUGCUGGAAGAAAGCAAUGUGAGGAAGAGAAGAAGGAGAGAAGUGGGUCCCUGGGACCCAGCAAGGAUCUGAAGUGAGAAUUGAAGUCCAUGGGGAGAGCAAAGGGAGACUUCAACAAAGAAGAAGGAGGUGGCAAGAGGCACUUUUUCCCUGAGCCCUGACUCACCACAUGGGAAGGGUGGCUUGAACCUGCAGACACAUGGUGACUACUGGUGACGCCAGAGGCCUGCACAGAGAAAUGCACCAGUAGAAUGGAAUAGUGGAUGCAGCAGACUGCAGUGUCUGCACAAGGAGAUUUGGACAACAAGGACUCAUGAAGGACAGCACAUGUCAAGGCUGGGGAGAAGAAGAGGAGCCAAGAAGGAGCAGCCAGGGAGUAUACAUUUGUGAUCCAGAAAUACAUUCAGCAUGAGGAACUGCUACCGAAGUAAGACAGCAAAUCAACAAUCUAAGUUUCUUCAUCAAGAAAUUAGAAAACAAAGACCAAAAUCAAACCAAAACAAGCCUGAGGAAGGAACUAAUGAAGGUAAGAGGAGAAAUCAAUGUGAUUGAAAACUAGAAAACGAGAGAAUCAAUGAAACAAAAACCUCUUGAAGAUUGACUGUUAGGAAGAAUUUAGCAUGCAAUUUGUUUAUCAAGGAGUGUCUUUGGGUCAACAUGGAUAGAAGGGAUGGGAAGUCUUUUUUUAUUUUUGUUUUUUUUCUGUUAACACUGAUCAAUCCUCCAAUACUGACACCAGCCACCUGGAGUUCACAUAGAUUCUACAAGUGCAAGGACUGUAUGUCACUAAAAGGAAAUACUUCAGAUGCCAGCCUCAAGAGGGUGCUCAGGUAGCCAUACUUCUGCCCUGAACACCCAAUGUAUUCCCACAACCUGCUCACAGGCUGGAUAUUUCCAGAUGACUUACAGUGCUCAGAAGAACAUUUUCCUUACUUACAUUUAUGAGUUUAUUUUAAAGAGUAGACCCCCAAAUAGAAGACCCAAUCAGGAAAUGGAAAAGUGGGACACUUCAAAGAAGCAGUACAAAUGGCCCAUAAAUCCAUGAAGAAAUGCUCAACAUCCCUGGUGAUAUUAGAGAAAUGCAGAUUAAAACAACACUGAGAUUCCAUCUUACUCCAGAGAGAAGGACUAUCUUCAAGAAAUCAAGGAAUGGCAAAUGCUGGUGAGGCUGUGAGCGAAAAUGAACCCCUCUACGUUGUUGGUGGGAAUGUGAACUGGUAUAACCACUCUGGAAGUCAGUAUGGAGAUUCCUCAAAAAGCAAACUAGAAAUUCUAUCUGACCCAGCUAUUCCCCUUCUAGUUAUCUUC
RNAcentral lists this long non-coding RNA (1508 nucleotides) under Heterocephalus glaber (naked mole-rat). RNAcentral describes it as "lncRNA (ENSHGLG00000039644.1)". Lineage: Eukaryota; Metazoa; Chordata; Mammalia; Rodentia; Bathyergidae. The record is from RNAcentral.